UCUCUCCUUCAACUAUGUCUUCUUAUUUGCUUGAGGGCAAGCAAAGACUAAGUUUGGGGGAGUUGAUAUGUCUAUAAUUUGCAUGUUUUCAGUGUCCAUUCAUCAUCGUUUUGAGUCCAGUUUCGUGUCAUUCAUCACUGUUUUAUAUCAUUUCUCAUCAUUCUUGCAUACUUUGCAUGAUUAGGAUAACUUUGCAUACAUAUUGCAUUUCUGAGUUGUUUUCAAGUGAUUUGGAGCUGUUUGCGAGCAAAUUGGAAGAAACGAGCCAGAACCAGAAGACAUCCAGCACCAUACUCGACCCCC
This 303-nucleotide small RNA is filed under the name Arabidopsis thaliana (thale cress). RNAcentral's name for it is "ATSL270040". The record is from RNAcentral. Lineage: Eukaryota; Viridiplantae; Streptophyta; Magnoliopsida; Brassicales; Brassicaceae.